Molecule: long non-coding RNA, 940 nt
Filed under: Capsicum annuum
Lineage: Eukaryota; Viridiplantae; Streptophyta; Magnoliopsida; Solanales; Solanaceae
Description: long non-coding RNA (CANN_LNC005366)
Source: RNAcentral
AAAACUUAACAAAAUAAAGUGUGAUGAAAGGUAAAUAACAAUAAUGAAAAUCAGUCAACAAAUAGUGAAAAUCAAUAAAAAUGAGAACAACCAUAACCGCAGUAAUCGGAAAGAAAAGGAAAAUGGCAAGAUUUUUUAAACAAAAAAAUAAUCAAAAACAAUAAAUAACAAUACCACAUGUGUAUAAAUUCAAAAAUAAGUUACAGUAAUCAAACAUUCUUCGUCUAAAUCUAAAAAUGAAAAAGUCAUUGUUGUUGUAGCUCACUGGACAGUGUUGUUAUUGGUUCAUGGAGGUUGUUGGUUUUAGCUAGAGUUGUGGGUUUUUUGGUGGUGUGAGAAUUUUUCGAACAUAUUUUGCCCAUUUUCCGGUAAAUAGUAGCGACGGAGAGAAGAGGAAGAGGGAAAGGGGCGGUGUCUCUCGGGUCAUUACUUUCGGCGAGAAGUGACGAAAAAUAAAUGAGAAAGAGGGGAGAGGAAGGGCGACGGCUGAAGGUGGGUAGUGGCGCGGUUGAAUCUCGCCGGCCACUACCUCCGGCGAGGCAACGCAAAAAGGAGCGGCGAAAAAGGGGGAAAUUGGUGGUUUGUGUUGUUGACUACGAGGAGGAAGAACGGAGGCAAAGAGAGAAGAAAGUAUUAGGAUUUUCCUUGAAUUUUCUAAUUUACAUGAUUUUCUACCAUAAUUAGAAUUGGGUUUCUUAGUAGAAAUAAUUUUUUCUCUAUUAUAUUUCUAUUAUGUUUAUUCUUUAUUAGAGAAAGAGUUUUGUAACUCUAUAAAUAGAAGAUCUCUCUUCUCAAGUCAUAACACUGUAGUAUCUACAAUGUAGUUGUUUAAAGAGUCUGGUUUAGGGGAGAUAUCUCUUAUAGAUUUAUGUUUUUUCAAAUAUUAGUUUUUAAUAUGUAGGUCGUUCGACCAAAUUAUAUCAAUAAUACGUCAUUUUAG